RNAcentral lists this long non-coding RNA (427 nucleotides) under Trifolium pratense (red clover). RNAcentral's name for it is "long non-coding RNA (TPRA_LNC000856)". Lineage: Eukaryota; Viridiplantae; Streptophyta; Magnoliopsida; Fabales; Fabaceae. The record is from RNAcentral.
GUGUGUGUAGACAAUAAAGUUGAGAUUUUUAUAAGAUGUAACAGAAUUAACAACUUUACAUGAUGUAAAAAAUGGGAUUCUAAAAGUGAAAAAAUAAUAAUAAUAAUGAUGAUGAUGAAAUAAAAAGAGGGUGUUGUUUACUUACGAUAGUAGUGAUUGGUUUGGAAGCAGAAAGUUGAUUUUCUUUUUCUCUAGAAAGAAAGCUUCGUUCUUCAACCAAAAUCAGAAAACCAUGACAGAAUGAUAGAUUUAAUAAGAAGAGGAAAAAAAAAAAGAAUGAAAGAAAAUGAAAGUGGAAGGUUCUUGGAAGUGUACAAUUUAGAAAGAGGGUGUUGUUACUUGUUUGUGGGAUCUAAAAUCCAAAAGUCGUAAUUGAAUUAUAUCGAAAAGGGUAUCUUUUUAUUUUUCAUAGGACAAAAAUAAGGUU